Molecule: non-coding RNA, 779 nt
Organism: Callithrix jacchus (white-tufted-ear marmoset)
Lineage: Eukaryota; Metazoa; Chordata; Mammalia; Primates; Cebidae
Source: RefSeq, a predicted model, not a curated record
AUGUAUGGAUGUGUGUUUCCAUGCAUGUUUGUUCAUGCAGGUUUGCCUGAUCAAGACUGUGAGGAGGAGGAGAAUCAGCUUCAGAAGAGCUGCAGCAGGAGUGGGAAGCCAAGCAGGAGAAGAUCAAGAGCGAGGAGAUUGAGAUCACCUUCAGCUACUGGGACUGCUUUGGGCACUGGUGGACAGUCAAGAUGAGAAAGGGCAAUACCUUGCAGCAGUUCCUGCAGAAGGCGCUGGAGAUCCUCCAGAAAGACUUCAGUGAGCUGAGAUCUGCAGGGGAGGAGCAGCUCAUGUACAUCAAGGAGGACUUGAUCAUCCCGCAUUAUCACAGCUUCUAUGACUUCAUCGUCACCAAGGCAUGGGGGAAGAGUGGGCCGCUCUUCAACUUUGACAUUCACGAUGACAUUCGGUUGCUCAGUGAUGCCACCGUGGAGAAAGAUGAGUCACAUGCAGGCAAGGUAGUGCUGAGGAGCUGGUAUGAGAAGAACAAGCACAUCUUCCCUGCCAGCCGCUGGGAACCCUACAACCCCGAGAAGAAGUGGGACAAGUACACGAUCCACUGAGCGUCUGGGAGGCUAUGUGGCCUCAGCUCUUCAGCUCCCUCAGUGUGCCCCAUGAUAUCCCGGGACCCCAGGCACCCACUCCCCUGCCACCAUGCCAGGCACACUGGGAGGAGGACAGCAGCUGCUCGUGUCCUGACCUUGGCAUGUCAGUGACUGCUUUAUUCUUUUACAAUAAAGAAGUGCACAUGUCAGAGCCGGAGCACCUGCAGUGUGAGA